RNAcentral lists this unclassified non-coding RNA (916 nucleotides) under Hevea brasiliensis (rubber tree). Lineage: Eukaryota; Viridiplantae; Streptophyta; Magnoliopsida; Malpighiales; Euphorbiaceae. The record is from RNAcentral.
CAAAACUUUACAUUCCCUUUAAAAAUCUUCAAUGUAACAAGUUAAAAAACACAUUUAAGACCCCUUUGUUUUAUUUCAAGUACAACAGACUGUUUUUUUUUUACCAACUUUGAUUCUACAAAUAAUUUGGCAUUGCUAAAAUGGCACAAGCCAUUUGGCAGAAUCAUUACAAAUAUCAGCUAGCUGCCCUUCUAAACUAUCAUAAUAAAAACCAACGAGGACACCGCUAGAAGUUGUUUAGAAGACUGAGAACUGAAUUAUUAAACAGCAACUAAUUUGUAAUUUUUAUAAAAAAAUGGUUGCCUUCUCAUUCUGAUUGCUGCAGAGCCUCAACAAAUGCAUCCUUCAGGAGAGGGUUUGAAGCUGCCACUCUCUGAGAUGUGAUGUCAAAAUCUUUACCAGAUGGGUCAUAAACAAGUCCUCCAGCUUCUUUGACAAUCACGGCACCACCUGCUACAUCCCAUGGACCCCCAAAUCCAGUUUCAUAAAAUAAAUCAAGUCUUCCGCAUGCAAUUCCACAUAGAUUCAGUGCGCAGGAACCACUCAUCCUAAGGGAUCUCACCUUGAAAAGCAAGCUAUUAAUUCUGUUUGUAGUGGCAUCCACGGUAGCCUUAUCACGUUUUGUUCCAACCUCUGUUGCAAGAAGAGACUUCACAAGCUCCGUUUGUGAUGAUACUUUUAUAGGGUUGCCAUUAAGAAAAGCACCUUUUCCAAGGACGCCAGUAAAAAGCUCAUUUAAAAUUGGGUUGUAAACAACACCUACAGUAGGAACCUUUCCAAUUGUAAGACCAAUAGAAAUGCAGACAAGGGGAAACCCAUGCACGAAGUUGGUUGUUCCAUCAAGAGGAUCAACUAUCCACGUGGGUUCAUCAGUCAGCUCUGUAAUACCAUAGGCAGCAGUAGUUUCUUCCCCAAU